GUNGGGCUCGAUGUUAGAAGGGCACUCAUCGNACGAGAGCUGUCAACUGUCAUUANGGAGUAAAGUCGUACAGNUUCGUAGUNACUGCGNANGAUCANUACUGAUUGCUUNAUUGCACCACAUGUGUUUUUCUUUGAAACCNACUUGCUUUGGCGGUGGGCCCAGCNUGCCGCCAGAGGUCUAAACUUACAACCAAUUUUUUAUCAACUUGUCACACCAGAUUAUUACUAAUAGUCAAAACUUUCAACAACGGAUCUCUUGGUUCUCGCAUCGAUGAAGAACGCAGCGAAAUGCGAUACGUAAUAUGAAUUGCCGAAAAUUCGUGAAUCAUCGAAUUUUUGAACGCACAUUGCGCCCUCUGGUAUNNCGGAGGGCAUGCCUGUUUGAGCGUCGUUUCUCCCUCAAACCGCUGGGUUUGGUGUUGAGCAAUACGACUUGGGUUUGCUUGAAAGACGGUAGUGGUAAGGCGGGAUCGCUUUGACAAUGGCUUAGGUCUAACCAAAAACAUUGCUUGCGGCGGUAACGUCCACCACGUAUAUCUUCAAACUUUGA
RNAcentral lists this unclassified non-coding RNA (552 nucleotides) under Candida albicans. Its description in RNAcentral is "sequence contains 18S rRNA gene, ITS1, 5.8S rRNA gene, ITS2, 28S rRNA gene". The stretch from base 239 to 393 matches the Rfam family "5.8S ribosomal RNA". Lineage: Eukaryota; Fungi; Ascomycota; Pichiomycetes; Serinales; Debaryomycetaceae. The record is from RNAcentral.